GAGGGUUAAAAAAAAGCGGCUCAGAUUGAACGCUGGCGGGAUGCUUUACAUGCAAGUCAGGAUGACAGCACGGACUUCAGUCUGGUGGCGAGUGGCGAACGGGUGAGUAAUGUAUCGGAACGUGCCUAGUAGCGGGGGAUAACUACGCGAAAGCGCAGCUAAUACCGCAUACGCCCUUCGAGGGGAAAGCGGGGGACCUUCGGGCCUCGCACUAUUAGAGCGGCCGAUAUCGGAUUAGCUAGUUGGUGGGAGAUUAACGGCUCGCAAGGCGACGAUCCGUAGCUGGUUUUGAAGGACGACCAGCCACACUGGGACUGAGACACAGCCCAGACUCCUACGGGAGGCAGCAGUGGGGAAUUUUGGACAAUGGGGGAAACCCUGAUCCAGCCAUCCCGCGUGUGCGAUGAAGGCCUUCGGGUUGUAAAGCCUUUGGCAGGAAAGAAACGGCACGGGAUAAUACCCCGUGCAACUGACGGUACCUGCAGAAUAAACACCGGCUAACUACGUGCCAGCAACCGCGGUAAUACACGUAGGGUGCAAGCGUUAAUCGGAAUUACUGGGCGUAAAGCGUGCGCAGGCGGUUCGGAAAGAAAGAUGUGAAAUCCCAGAGCUUAACUUUGGAACUGCAUUUUUAACUACCGAGCUAGAGUGUCAGAGGGAGGUGGAAUUCCGCGUGUAGCAGUGAAAUGCGUAGAUAUGCGGAGGAACACCGAUGGCGAAGGCAGCCUCCUGGGAUAACACUGACGCUCAUGCACGAAAGCGUGGGAGCAAACAGGAUUAGAUACCCUGGUAGUCCACGCCCUAAACGAUGUCAACUAGCUGUUGGGGCCUUCGGGCCUUGGUAGCGCAGCUAACGCGUGAAGUUGACCGCCUGGGGAGUACGGUCGCAAGAUUAAAACUCAAAGGAAUUGACGGGGACCCGCACAAGCGGUGGAUGAUGUGGACAAUUCGAUGCAACGCGAAAAACCUUACCUACCCUUGACCCGUCUGGAAUCCCGAAGAGAUUUAGGAGUACUCGCAAGAGAACCGGAACACAGGUGCUGCAUGGCUGUCGUCAGCUCGUGUCGUGAGAUGUUGGGUUAAGUCCCGCAACGAGCGCAACCCUUGUCAUUAGUUGCUACGAAGGGGGCACUCUAAUGAGACUGCCGGUGAUGACCGGAGGAAGGUGGGGAUGAUCAAGUCCCUGCAUGGCCCUUAUGGGUAGGGCUUCACACGUCAUACAAUGGUCGGGACAGAGGGUCGCCAACCCGCGAGGGGGAGCCAAUCCCGAAACCCGAUCGUAGUCCGGAUCGCAGUCUGCAACUCGACUGCGUGAAGUCGGAAUCGCUAGUAAUCGCGGAUCAGCAUGUCGCGGUGAAUACGUUCCCGGGUCUUGUACACACCGCCCGUCACACCAUGGGAGUGGGUUUUACCAGAAGUAGUUAGCCUAACCGUAAGGAGGACGAUUACCACGGUAGGAUUCAUGACUGGGGUGAAGUCGUAACAAGGUAG
RNAcentral lists this ribosomal RNA (1491 nucleotides) under uncultured Bordetella sp. Its description in RNAcentral is "partial 16S-23S ribosomal RNA intergenic spacer". It matches the Rfam family "Bacterial small subunit ribosomal RNA". Lineage: Bacteria; Pseudomonadati; Pseudomonadota; Betaproteobacteria; Burkholderiales; Alcaligenaceae. The record is from RNAcentral.